Long non-coding RNA from Capsicum annuum, 1179 nucleotides. RefSeq lists it as uncharacterized. Lineage: Eukaryota; Viridiplantae; Streptophyta; Magnoliopsida; Solanales; Solanaceae. The record is from RefSeq and is a predicted model, not a curated record. The transcript is spliced from 2 exons.
UCGAAGAAAGUUAGUGUAUCGCUGACUAUAGAACUGAUAACACUUGGAACUUGUCGGCCGUCUCGUUUGUCCUCCCUCGGAAAGUGACUAGUCAAAUUUUUGCUGUCCAUUUCCUCACUUUUGCAAAUGCUUAUGACCACAUAAAAUGGGGACUUACACAUACGAGAAGGUUUACUGUUCAAUCUUGCUACAACCAAAUCAAAUCCAAUGAUAAUAAUUCUACUAGCCGGACUGAUAGCAGCUGGUUAUGGAACCUGCCUAUUGCCCUAAGAUUAAAUAUUUCCUGUGGUUGUCAAGCUUGAAUAGGCUUCCCACUUCUGCUUACUUGCACCAUAUUUCAUGCCUUGAAUCGCCGUUCUGUAGACUUUGUCAGCAAGGAGUGCCUGAGACUUCAUACCAAUUGUUCUUUUCAUGCUCGGGACUAGGAAACUUCUGGGGAAGUUUAGCUUUUCAAUUGGCUUAGGACCCUCCCUUUCGAUCCCCCCGCAAAGCUCCGACGCUUCCUCUACUUUUAUGUAUUGGUUUAAUGCUAACAUUAACAGAUAUACCACCAAUUCUCCUCGGCUACCUCUUGGAGUCCUGCUCCCUUACUGUUUGUGGGUUAUUUGAAACCAAUGUAAUAAACACCUUUUUAAUGGAUAUGGGACUGAACCAUCACUAUUCUUAGCCAUUAAUAUGGCUGCGGAAUUUUGGUAUUUAACAAGAAACUUACACAAUACCAAUAUUCCCAUCACUGUUUAUGUCAAAUGGAACCCUCCUAAUAUUAGCAAUCUCAUGUUGAACACUGAUGCUGCUAUAUCUUCUGAGCAUAGUAUUGGCGGGCUAAGGGGAUUUUCCGUAACUUCAGAGGUAUCUGCUCCUACACAUGGGUAAUUCGAUGGUAAGCUCGAUCUACAGGAAGCAAAACAGACUAACUAAUGACCUGGCAAAAAAAAUCCAUCUCUACUGCACUAUCAUCCAGUUUAUUUCAUAGUACUUUGAUAUUGGAUACUGUAUCCACUUUUUGAUCACCUCGUCAAGAUUUGAUGAAGUUUUUAUAGGCUGAUAUGUGAGGAGUUUUUGCUACUACGUGUGUUAAAUCUGCAGCAGCUUUGCCACCUAGCGUCUCUGUUAAUACUCCUACUAAUUCUAGAUGAUCUGUAAAUAUUUCAUUAUGUACAAAUAUUACGAUGACUAUGC